RNAcentral lists this unclassified non-coding RNA (337 nucleotides) under soil metagenome. RNAcentral's name for it is "partial contains 5.8S ribosomal RNA, internal transcribed spacer 2, and large subunit ribosomal RNA". The stretch from base 1 to 120 matches the Rfam family "5.8S ribosomal RNA", at positions 35 to 154 of the family's 154-position model. The record is from RNAcentral.
GAUGAAGAACGUAGCGAAACGCGAUAAGUAGUGUGAAUUGCAGAAUUCAGUGAAUCAUCGAAUCUUUGAACGCACAUUGCGCCCCUUGGUAUUCCAUGGGGCAUGCCUGUUCGAGCGUCAUUUGUACCUUCAAGCUCUGCUUGGUGUUGGGUGUUUGUCCCGCCUCUGCGUGUAGACUCGCCUCAAAACAAUUGGCAGCCGGCGUAUUGAUUUCGGAGCGCAGUACAUCUCGCGCUUUGCACUCAUAACGACGACGUCCAAAAGUACAUUUUUACACUCUUGACCUCGGAUCAGGUAGGGAUACCCGCUGAACUUAAGCAUAUCAAUAAGCGGAGGA